UACGAAGGGGGCUAGCGUUGUUCGGAAUCACUGGGCGCAAGGGCGCGUAGGCGGCCGUUCAAGUCGGGGGUGAAAGCCUGUGGCUCAACCACAGAAUUGCCUUCGAUACUGUUCGGCUCGAGACCGGAAGAGGUUGGUGGAACUGCGAGUGUAGAGGUGUAAUUCGUAGAUAUUCGCAAGAACACCGGUGGCGAAGGCGGCCAACUGGUCCGGUUCUGACGCUGAGGCGCGAAAGCGUGGGGAGCAAACAGG
Molecule: ribosomal RNA, 252 nt
Filed under: uncultured bacterium
Lineage: Bacteria
Description: partial 16S ribosomal RNA
Rfam family: Bacterial small subunit ribosomal RNA
Source: RNAcentral